Molecule: long non-coding RNA, 930 nt
Organism: Cannabis sativa
Lineage: Eukaryota; Viridiplantae; Streptophyta; Magnoliopsida; Rosales; Cannabaceae
Exons: 2
Source: RefSeq, a predicted model, not a curated record
UUGAUUCUGUUUUUUAAUCUGUGAUGUAGUAAUUUAUGGUGUUUGUUCAUCGAUUCUGUUUAUAUACAUUAAACUUGGAUCUCCUUAUCUCAUGUGAUAUUAUGCACGAGUUCUGUUUUGAAAUAAUGCCCUUUUGCUUGUAAUGUAGUUUUUCGAGUUGACUUUUCCUAUUUUCUUUUUCUAAUGGAAAUUGACAUUUUUCUUUUCUUAGCUUAUGGUUUUCAUAAUCUGGAUCCUUAUAAGUACCAUUGAAUACUUGCUUUUCUUUUGAUUUGUGUAUUUAGGUAUAUGAUUUUGAAGAGGGUUAGCUUUGUUUUUUAAAUAAUUUAUGUCCCCAUAUUGGUGUGACCAAAAGUUUCCCUUUUCUGCUCUUAUUUUCCCCAAAAUUGUUUUGUUCUUGGAAUUUUAUGUUUUGUAUUGCAUGUGGUCUUGUUUUUGCCUUCUGCUUUAUCUAUUUUUUUAGUCUUAGAAUUGUAUAUUUGUUUAAUAAGAAAUUAAGCUCUGAGGUAUAAGUCCCCUUUGACUGUCAAACUUUUCCAUGGUUGGUGAUUGACACUGUUUAUUUUUUGUUAGUAUUGUUUGUUGCACUUAGUAUCUUUGAAUCAUCUUGCACUUUGGUACUGUAGUUUGUGUUUUUAUGAUGAUGAACUGAAAGAAAGAGUCCAUGAAGCUAGUUUAAUUUACAGUAACAAUAAAUGAUGAAGAUGUUGAUGUUGAUCCAACAAUGGAGCCUUACGUUGUUGAUCUUGAUGAUUAGAAUAUAUGUUGUUUUAUUGUUAGUUUUUAUUAUUAAUGUACUUUGUUAUUAGUAAUAUGAAUGUAAUUGAUAUUUCAACUCAAAUUAUAAUUAGGAAAUUUGUUCAGAACUUUAUUUUUUGGGUAUUGUUUAAUUUUAAUAUGAACAUCUUUAGAAAUUUAUUUUUAAGAAAA